ACCCAGAUGUAAACACACUGUCGAUUCCACUAAUUCAAACGUGGAUCUGGUUAGAAGAUAAUUGCUAUGAAGAGGAGGAACUCGUGCUAAUAUUGCUUGAAAUACAGAGAAGACGGUGGCAUGCGCGCCCUUUAAAUAUUACAAGAAGGCAGCUGUGUGAUUUUAGUAUGUCUAAAACCACAUUUGCUAAUUCUAGCUUCUAACUAUGGUCGAUGGACCAGUGAAGGUGUGUUCCAAGAGACUGAAUUUGGAAAACGACUGGAUCUGCCAUCACCCGAGGUCCUGCCAGGCAUCACGACGACCAACCCUUUUGUGUUCGCGUGGAAUGCAGAAUUACAUUGUGUAUGAACCUCACGCGCCCCUAAUCCAGAUGUCAUCUCUGGGAAAGUUCAGCAGUGGUGGUUGUUACAGGCGGCAGAUGACAACUUCCUGGAUCCAGAAUGAUGCUCAAAGUCCUGCCCACACCAUCAGACACAAUUUAAAGAUAUUUUCAGUUUCCCCACUGGCCUUGUACUGUGGCUGGGCAGUGUAAUUUCAAGAGAUUUAAUGUAUUGGUAUCUGCUAAAUUUAAAUAAAUUUUGUAACAAAU
Brienomyrus brachyistius is the source of this 589-nucleotide long non-coding RNA. RefSeq lists it as uncharacterized. The transcript is spliced from 2 exons. NCBI's taxonomy places the organism in Eukaryota, Metazoa, Chordata, Actinopteri, Osteoglossiformes, Mormyridae. The record is from RefSeq and is a predicted model, not a curated record.